GUAUGCAUCAGUCGCUAUGCCUCCAAUGACGCGGCAAGUUCGUGCCAUGGAAAGGUGAAGGUGAAGGGACCAGUUGGGAUAACCAUUCUGAUAAAGAUGCACACGGCGUCCAGUCCUACAUUCAACCCCACUGAGCAACUGAACAGAGAAAGGUCUUCAACAGUGGUAGCACCUCUUGAAACCAGAAAUCCAUGGAGCAUCCCAACCCUACUGCAACUGCAAAGCAGUGAAGAUAUUAUCUAUAAUGGGACCAGAGAAUUGUGCGAUGUCAUCAGCUUUCCUUUCCGUCAAAUUGGAGCGUGCUUUCCCCGAUCAAAAAAGCUUGAGCUCUCACCACCAGCUGCCC
RNAcentral lists this unclassified non-coding RNA (346 nucleotides) under Zea mays. RNAcentral describes it as "misc RNA Zm00001eb071000". Lineage: Eukaryota; Viridiplantae; Streptophyta; Magnoliopsida; Poales; Poaceae. The record is from RNAcentral.